AUGGCCCGAGAGAUGCAUACAAGAAUCUACUCAUCCAAGUGUAAAUGUAUCUCUUUUAUUCAGGCCUCAAGCAUAAACUUCUCUCCUCUAAAAUGGGACAAUGCAACCAUACAGCCCUUCAAAGCACAUUUGAGUGAGCAAACAUGGAUGAGACAUGAAUGGAGCGACUGGCCACACAGCAGAAGCAGGACUGGAGCACGGUGAAUGGCUGAAGGACGGUCUCAGGAAUGCUUUUGAAGAGGAGAGGAAUGCAUGAAGAGAGGCUGUUGUGAGAGAAGGGCUAAAGUUCCUAAAGCCCUUUGAGAAUUAUGACCACGGGGUGUUUUGCCUGGUCUUGUGUUUAGUUAGCCACAGUCAGAGAAAACAGUUGGUUGUACUUGUUUGCCUACUCAGCACUGCGUAUACUGCAGUCUUCAUUCCCAGACACUGCAAUCCAUAAGACAAUGUGUAAUCUUUAUGUCAUUUAGCAAUACUGCACAGCAGAUAAGUGGAUUUUCAUGUCUGUCCUUUGAGCUGAACAUCGAAAGGGGCAAAUUAUAGGGUUUUUUUUGUUGUUUUUUUUUUUGUAAAAAAAGAACAUUGCCAUCAUUAACUCAGAGGCACAGAAGAGAAUAAAGCCGCCAGACAUCUUACAACAGAGAAUAUGACAAAUUACUGUAAAUAUACUUUUGAAAAGGCUUGUAAAAGGGAAUCGAAGAUAUAGAGGAGCAAAUCUCCGGCUGAUUGCUUAAUUUGUCAGCAUAUCUGACAUGAAAAUAAAAAGGAUGAGAGAGUCAAGGCUGGUUUCUGUCAGUAGUCAUUGAUUUGUGGUGACAGAAAAUAAAAGAUCUUGAAAAAUAAAAGUUUUGAUUGUGGAGAACUUCUAUUACAGUCCUAAUGACUCGACAGAAUUACAGGGUUUUUGUUUGUUUGUUUUUUGUAUAUUCCAAACGAUUUCCAUUAUAGAUUUUUUUUUUCUUUUUACUGUUACUUACUUAAUUACUCAAAUUAUUUUGCGUGAUCCAUCCUGGCUUUCCUCUUGAAACCUCACUAUGACUGAAUCAGACAUAUUUUUAAAUACCCAGGUGUCACUGAUUAACGAUCAUGUGCUGAAGAAUUAAUUUCAGUGUUGUUUUAGUGUCACAGAGACACUUUUACUGCAUCAAGAUAAACA
This 1153-nucleotide long non-coding RNA is filed under the name Carassius auratus (goldfish). RNAcentral describes it as "lncRNA (ENSCARG00000015227.1)". Lineage: Eukaryota; Metazoa; Chordata; Actinopteri; Cypriniformes; Cyprinidae. The record is from RNAcentral.